AGUGGGGAAUAUUGGACAAUGGGCGCAAGCCUGAUCCAGCCAUGCCGCGUGAGUGAUGAAGGCCUUAGGGUUGUAAAGCUCUUUCGUCAGGGAAGAUAAUGACGGUACCUGAAGAAGAAGCCCCGGCUAACUUCGUGCCAGCAGCCGCGGUAAUACGAAGGGGGCUAGCGUUGCUCGGAAUCACUGGGCGUAAAGCGCACGUAGGCGGCUUUCUAAGUCAGGGGUGAAAUCCCGGGGCUCAACCCCGGAACUGCCUUUGAUACUGGAGAGCUUGAGUUCGAGAGAGGUGAGUGGAACUGCGAGUGUAGAGGUGAAAUUCGUAGAUAUUCGCAAGAACACCAGUGGCGAAGGCGGCUCACUGGCUCGAUACUGACGCUGAGGUGCGAAAGCGUGGGGAGCAAA
Molecule: ribosomal RNA, 402 nt
Filed under: uncultured Variibacter sp.
Lineage: Bacteria; Pseudomonadati; Pseudomonadota; Alphaproteobacteria; Hyphomicrobiales; Nitrobacteraceae
Description: bacterial SSU rRNA
Rfam family: Bacterial small subunit ribosomal RNA
Source: RNAcentral